Molecule: transfer RNA, 74 nt
Filed under: Cyanophage P-RSM6
Lineage: Duplodnaviria; Heunggongvirae; Uroviricota; Caudoviricetes; Pantevenvirales; Kyanoviridae
Rfam family: tRNA
About the family: Transfer RNA (tRNA) molecules are approximately 80 nucleotides in length. Their secondary structure includes four short double-helical elements and three loops (D, anti-codon, and T loops).
Source: Rfam by way of RNAcentral
GGGAGUGUAGCCCAAUCGGCAGAGGCAGCAGACUUAAAAUCUGCACAGUGUGGGUUCGAAUCCCACCACUCCUA